Molecule: ribosomal RNA, 312 nt
Filed under: uncultured Hyphomicrobiales bacterium
Lineage: Bacteria; Pseudomonadati; Pseudomonadota; Alphaproteobacteria; Hyphomicrobiales
Description: bacterial SSU rRNA
Rfam family: Bacterial small subunit ribosomal RNA
Source: RNAcentral
UGGCUCAGAACGAACGCUGGCGGCGUGCCUAACACAUGCAAGUCGAGCGCCGUAGCAAUACAGAGCGGCAGACGGGAGAGUAACACGUGGGAACGUACCCUUUGGUUCGGAACAACCCAGGGAAACUUGGGCUAAUACCGGAUAAGCCCUUACGGGGAAAGAUUCAUCGCCGAAGGAUCGGCCCGCGUCUGAUUAGCUAGUUGGUGGGGUAAUGGCCCACCAAGGCGACGAUCAGUAGCUGGUCUGAGAGGAUGACCAGCCACACUGGGACUGAGACACGGGACAGACUCCUACGGGAUUGCAGCAGUGGGG